CCUUGGUCUGCUAUUGGCCGUGGAAUCCGUCUGUCAAAGGUUUCCAUGGUAACGUUGCAAGUACGCUUGUUAGAAGAGGUACGUGGCGUUCACUAGUCCACCGUUUGAACAGCUGAGUGUCAUUCACGCUUCUUUUGGCAAAACGACACAACGACUGUUAUGACUCAACUGUUAUCUUGCUUGUGCUUGUAAGGUCUGUUUUCCCAUCAUGCAUUUGCUGUUCUGUUUGGUGUUCCUUUAAAGUACACCACUUCUGCUUUCCCAAGCAAUACCUCAAACAAGUCAAACUCAAUAUACAAGAGCCACAGUGGAUGCUGCUGCUUCAGUUUGUGCCAACCCAUGAUUGACUAUUUGAGAAACUGAAGCCGCCAGUGUGCCAAUAUGGUGCUGACAUCUUGUGUCUCGAGUCUGCGCAUAGUGAACUUGGAGCCCGAAUCUGCACAGUAGUGAGCGCGAAGUGGAGCCGCGAUAUCAAGGUCCCGCCCACACUCCUGCAGAAUUGAAUUUGACCACCCGUUUUAAGAACGCGAAUGGAGACAUCAGAUGCAGCACG
Long non-coding RNA from Megalobrama amblycephala (Wuchang bream), 553 nucleotides. RefSeq lists it as uncharacterized. The transcript has 4 exons. NCBI's taxonomy places the organism in Eukaryota, Metazoa, Chordata, Actinopteri, Cypriniformes, Xenocyprididae. The record is from RefSeq and is a predicted model, not a curated record.